Molecule: ribosomal RNA, 253 nt
Filed under: uncultured bacterium
Lineage: Bacteria
Description: partial 16S ribosomal RNA
Rfam family: Bacterial small subunit ribosomal RNA
Source: RNAcentral
GACAGAGGGUGCAAACGUUGUUCGGAAUUACUGGGCGUAAAGCGUGUGUAGGCGGUUUGCUAAGUCGGAUGUGAAAGCCCCGGGCUCAACCCGGGAAGUGCACUCGAAACUGGCAGGCUAGAGUAUCGGAGAGGUUGGUGGAAUUCUCGGUGUAGAGGUGAAAUUCGUAGAUAUCGAGAGGAACACCGGUGGCGAAGGCGGCCAACUGGACGAAUACUGACGCUGAGACACGAAAGCGUGGGGAGCAAACAGG